GGCGAGUCCUCCAACACCAACAACCUUCAACACCUCUCUCUCGUUUCGUUCAACAUCCACUCCUGCUCUCAUUCCAAGCUAUACUCAGGUAAGCUUUUGUGGUCUCUCCCUUUGCAUUACAAUUGAGGUCGGGCUUGCAGUUGCAGAGAGAUAGAGAAAGAGGUGAACCAAAAUAUAUUAUUGGGUUAGGGUCUUUCAGCGACAACUAUAUCUUUUGGGUGGCUUUAGGCUUUGCCAUCGCCGUAGAGAUUGAAAGGAGGUUUCUUGGGUGUGGCUAGACGAUGUGGGUGGCAACACUUGGAUGUGCCUGCUUGGUUUGGUAAUCUCAGUGGCAACACUUGGCUAUCAUUUUACAAAUUUUAUUUUGGAGCAGAAGUAUGGGAAAAGGCCUGAAGAUGAGCUGCCCAAGUUCUGAAGCUCAAUCGUCUAUGGCACCCAUGGGAGAGAGAAAAGGUUGAGUAUUUCACAUUGAGUGAUCUCUGGAAAUUUUAUGACGAGUGGAGUGCAUAUGGUGGAGUUUCGCAUGCAAUUCUCCUUUUGGUUUUUACUUAUAUAUGAGGUCGAAUUACAUUUGUAGUAGCUGUGCCUGCUUGGUUUCCUAAUCUGAUUGUGGGGUGAUCAAAUUUGUAAAAUGUUGGUUUUGAUUGGCUCAAAGCUAAUAUGGCAUCAUUCAAGUUUGUUAUCUGUGCAGGCUAUUUUGUAUCCGGUGGUGUUUUUUGAU
Molecule: long non-coding RNA, 721 nt
Organism: Prunus dulcis (almond)
Lineage: Eukaryota; Viridiplantae; Streptophyta; Magnoliopsida; Rosales; Rosaceae
Exons: 3
Source: RefSeq, a predicted model, not a curated record